CUAAAUUUGGCCGCAUCAUUGCAAAGAACUGCCUUGACAAGAGAUGUUCCACAGAGCUGCUGUGUGCCGCAGAGCAGACCCACACCAUCAGCAGCCAGCUCAGCAUCGUGGCCAGGGUAAAAGCAGUCACUGCAGAGAGCAAGUCAUCUUCUGAGCUGCUUGUGAGCAACGCGCAGAACCUAAUUCAAGCAGUUUUGCAUGUUCUAAAGGCAGCUGAGGCAGCAUGUGUCAAAGGUUUGCAACAGCCUCCGCCUGACUCUGAAGAAGCAGAAGUAGCUGCUUUUUGCAUUGAA
This 293-nucleotide long non-coding RNA is filed under the name Apteryx owenii (little spotted kiwi). Its description in RNAcentral is "lncRNA (ENSAOWG00000014996.1)". Lineage: Eukaryota; Metazoa; Chordata; Aves; Apterygiformes; Apterygidae. The record is from RNAcentral.